UUCAUUUUCAUUAAUAGAUAAAAAAACUGUACGUACAAAGAAAAUAGAAAAUAUAUAUGUGAUAAGUAAAAUACGUGUUUGCGAAGUGAUACUGAAAGAGAAUAAAUCAUAUUCGACGUUCAAUAGGCAGAAAAUUGAAACAAUGAAAAUAUUAUUAUCAUCAAGGAAAAUGUUAUGUCAAAUACUGUUUCGAUAUUAAACGAUCGAUUUACUUAUUGCGCAUAAAUACUUUUAUAAUCAUCAGAAGAGGUAUUUUAUCUUCUGAACAAUCACGGAUGGUACGAUGAAAUUUUAUUAUUUCCAAGAGUGGAUUUAUUAAUAAACACGAAUAUUAUA
Molecule: long non-coding RNA, 336 nt
Organism: Vespa crabro (European hornet)
Lineage: Eukaryota; Metazoa; Arthropoda; Insecta; Hymenoptera; Vespidae
Exons: 2
Source: RefSeq, a predicted model, not a curated record